UACAGAGGUCCCAAGCGUUGUUCGGAUUCACUGGGCGUAAAGGGUGCGUAGGCGGUCGGGUAAGUCUGAUGUGAAAGCUCGCGGCUUAACCGCGAAACGGCAUCGGAUACUAUCUGGCUGGAGGAGUGGAGGGGAGACUGGAAUUCUCGGUGUAGCAGUGAAAUGCGUAGAUAUCGAGAGGAACACCUGUGGCGAAGGCGAGUCUCUGGACACUUCCUGACGCUGAGGCACGAAAGCCAGGGGAGCAAACGGG
RNAcentral lists this ribosomal RNA (253 nucleotides) under uncultured bacterium. RNAcentral describes it as "partial 16S ribosomal RNA". It matches the Rfam family "Bacterial small subunit ribosomal RNA", at positions 524 to 776 of the family's 1533-position model. The record is from RNAcentral.